RNAcentral lists this ribosomal RNA (240 nucleotides) under uncultured Lactobacillus sp. Its description in RNAcentral is "partial 16S ribosomal RNA". It matches the Rfam family "Bacterial small subunit ribosomal RNA", at positions 123 to 354 of the family's 1533-position model. The record is from RNAcentral. Lineage: Bacteria; Bacillati; Bacillota; Bacilli; Lactobacillales; Lactobacillaceae.
AACCUGCCCCAUAGUCUGGGAUACCACUUGGAAACAGGUGCUAAUACCGGAUAAGAAAGCAGAUCGCAUGAUCAGCUUUUAAAAGGCGGCGUAAGCUGUCGCUAUGGGAUGGCCCCGCGGUGCAUUAGCUAGUUGGUAAGGUAAAUGCUUACCAAGGCGAUGAUGCAUAGCCGAGUUGAGAGACUGAUCGGCCACAUUGGGACUGAGACACGGCCCAAACUCCUACGGGAGGCAGCAGAC